Molecule: ribosomal RNA, 1075 nt
Filed under: Salmonella enterica
Lineage: Bacteria; Pseudomonadati; Pseudomonadota; Gammaproteobacteria; Enterobacterales; Enterobacteriaceae
Description: partial 23S ribosomal RNA
Rfam family: Bacterial large subunit ribosomal RNA
Source: RNAcentral
CCGGUAAGGUGAUAUGAACCGUUAUAACCGGCGAUACCCGAAUGGGGAAACCCAGUGUGACUCGUCACACUAUCAUUAACUGAAUCCAUAGGUUAAUGAGGCGAACCGGGGGAACUGAAACAUCUAAGUACCCCGAGGAAAAGAAAUCAACCGAGAUUCCCCCAGUAGCGGCGAGCGAACGGGGAGGAGCCCAGAGCCUGAAUCAGCAUGUGUGUUAGUGGAAGCGUCUGGAAAGGCGCGCGAUACAGGGUGACAGCCCCGUACACAAAAGCGCAUGUGCUGUGAGCUCGAUGAGUAGGGCGGGACACGUGGUAUCCUGUCUGAAUAUGGGGGGACCAUCCUCCAAGGCUAAAUACUCCUGACUGACCGAUAGUGAACCAGUACCGUGAGGGAAAGGCGAAAAGAACCCCGGCGAGGGGAGUGAAAAAGAACCUGAAACCGUGUACGUACAAGCAGUGGGAGCACCCUUUUGGGUGUGACUGCGUACCUUUUGUAUAAUGGGUCAGCGACUUAUAUUCUGUAGCAAGGUUAACCGAAUAGGGGAGCCGGAGGGAAACCGAGUCUUAACCGGGCGUUAAGUUGCAGGGUAUAGACCCGAAACCCGGUGAUCUAGCCAUGGGCAGGUUGAAGGUUGGGUAACACUAACUGGAGGACCGAACCGACUAAUGUUGAAAAAUUAGCGGAUGACCUGUGGCUGGGGGUGAAAGGCCAAUCAAACCGGGAGAUAGCUGGUUCUCCCCGAAAGCUAUUUAGGUAGCGCCUCGUGAAUUCAUCUCCGGGGGUAGAGCACUGUUUCGGCUAGGGGGCCAUCCCGGCUUACCAACCCGAUGCAAACUGCGAAUACCGGAGAAUGUUAUCACGGGAGACACACGGCGGGUGCUAACGUCCGUCGUGAAGAGGGAAACAACCCAGACCGCCAGCUAAGGUCCCAAAGUCAUGGUUAAGUGGGAAACGAUGUGGGAAGGCCCAGACAGCCAGGAUGUUGGCUUAGAAGCAGCCAUCAUUUAAAGAAAGCGUAAUAGCUCACUGGUCGAGUCGGCCUGCGCGGAAGAUGUAACGGGGCUAAACCAUGCAC